UUCCUGGUAGCUCAGAUGGUAAAGCAUCUGCCUUCGAUGCGGGAAACCCGGGUUCGAUCCCUGGGUCGGAAA
RNAcentral lists this transfer RNA (72 nucleotides) under Ovis aries (sheep). It matches the Rfam family "tRNA". Rfam says of the family: Transfer RNA (tRNA) molecules are approximately 80 nucleotides in length. Their secondary structure includes four short double-helical elements and three loops (D, anti-codon, and T loops). Lineage: Eukaryota; Metazoa; Chordata; Mammalia; Artiodactyla; Bovidae. The record is from Rfam by way of RNAcentral.